Molecule: ribosomal RNA, 3284 nt
Filed under: Drosophila melanogaster (fruit fly)
Lineage: Eukaryota; Metazoa; Arthropoda; Insecta; Diptera; Drosophilidae
Description: eukaryotic LSU rRNA
Rfam family: Eukaryotic large subunit ribosomal RNA (bases 573-3284)
Source: RNAcentral
ACUCUAAGCGGUGGAUCACUCGGCUCAUGGGUCGAUGAAGAACGCAGCAAACUGUGCGUCAUCGUGUGAACUGCAGGACACAUGAACAUCGACAUUUUGAACGCAUAUCGCAGUCCAUGCUGUUAUGUACUUUAAUUAAUUUUAUAGUGCUGCUUGGACUACAUAUGGUUGAGGGUUGUAAGACUAUGCUAAUUAAGUUGCUUAUAAAUUUUUAUAAGCAUAUGGUAUAUUAUUGGAUAAAUAUAAUAAUUUUUAUUCAUAAUAUUAAAAAAUAAAUGAAAAACAUUAUCUCACAUUUGAAUGUGAAAAACGAAGAGAAAUAUUUUCUUUUUCAAUCAAAUAAUACUGAGAAAUGUCUAGCAUAAAAAAUUGAAAUAUUUUUCAUCUAGAAUUGUCUCUUAUUAAUGAUUCGGAAAUAGAAAAAUCUUGGUUAUGUUAUUAUUCUUCGUUGGUUCGUUAAAAAUGGAUAAAUAAAAACUUUGCAUACAAGAAUUAAUAAAAAUGUUAUAACGAAUUUAAUUAAAUGUUUUAUCAUUAUAUAUAAAGAAUUUAUGGCAAGAUAAAGUUAUAUACAACCUCAACUCAUAUGGGACUACCCCCUGAAUUUAAGCAUAUUAAUUAGGGGAGGAAAAGAAACUAACAAGGAUUUUCUUAGUAGCGGCGAGCGAAAAGAAAACAGUUCAGCACUAAGUCACUUUGUCUAUAUGGCAAAUGUGAGAUGCAGUGUAUGGAGCGUCAAUAUUCUAGUAUGAGAAAUUAACGAUUUAAGUCCUUCUUAAAUGAGGCCAUUUACCCAUAGAGGGUGCCAGGCCCGUAUAACGUUAAUGAUUACUAGAUGAUGUUUCCAAAGAGUCGUGUUGCUUGAUAGUGCAGCACUAAGUGGGUGGUAAACUCCAUCUAAAACUAAAUAUAACCAUGAGACCGAUAGUAAACAAGUACCGUGAGGGAAAGUUGAAAAGAACUCUGAAUAGAGAGUUAAACAGUACGUGAAACUGCUUAGAGGUUAAGCCCGAUGAACCUGAAUAUCCGUUAUGGAAAAUUCAUCAUUAAAAUUGUAAUAUUUAAAUAAUAUUAUGAGAAUAGUGUGCAUUUUUUCCAUAUAAGGACAUUGUAAUCUAUUAGCAUAUACCAAAUUUAUCAUAAAAUAUAACUUAUAGUUUAUUCCAAUUAAAUUGCUUGCAUUUUAACACAGAAUAAAUGUUAUUAAUUUGAUAAAGUGCUGAUAGAUUUAUAUGAUUACAGUGCGUUAAUUUUUCGGAAUUAUAUAAUGGCAUAAUUAUCAUUGAUUUUUGUGUUUAUUAUAUGCACUUGUAUGAUUAACAAUGCGAAAGAUUCAGGAUACCUUCGGGACCCGUCUUGAAACACGGACCAAGGAGUCUAACAUAUGUGCAAGUUAUUGGGAUAUAAACCUAAUAGCGUAAUUAACUUGACUAAUAAUGGGAUUAGUUUUUUAGCUAUUUAUAGCUAAUUAACACAAUCCCGGGGCGUUCUAUAUAGUUAUGUAUAAUGUAUAUUUAUAUUAUUUAUGCCUCUAACUGGAACGUACCUUGAGCAUAUAUGCUGUGACCCGAAAGAUGGUGAACUAUACUUGAUCAGGUUGAAGUCAGGGGAAACCCUGAUGGAAGACCGAAACAGUUCUGACGUGCAAAUCGAUUGUCAGAAUUGAGUAUAGGGGCGAAAGACCAAUCGAACCAUCUAGUAGCUGGUUCCUUCCGAAGUUUCCCUCAGGAUAGCUGGUGCAUUUUAAUAUUAUAUAAAAUAAUCUUAUCUGGUAAAGCGAAUGAUUAGAGGCCUUAGGGUCGAAACGAUCUUAACCUAUUCUCAAACUUUAAAUGGGUAAGAACCUUAACUUUCUUGAUAUGAAGUUCAAGGUUAUGAUAUAAUGUGCCCAGUGGGCCACUUUUGGUAAGCAGAACUGGCGCUGUGGGAUGAACCAAACGUAAUGUUACGGUGCCCAAAUUAACAACUCAUGCAGAUACCAUGAAAGGCGUUGGUUGCUUAAAACAGCAGGACGGUGAUCAUGGAAGUCGAAAUCCGCUAAGGAGUGUGUAACAACUCACCUGCCGAAGCAACUAGCCCUUAAAAUGGAUGGCGCUUAAGUUGUAUACCUAUACAUUACCGCUAAAGUAGAUGAUUUAUAUUACUUGUGAUAUAAAUUUUGAAACUUUAGUGAGUAGGAAGGUACAAUGGUAUGCGUAGAAGUGUUUGGCGUAAGCCUGCAUGGAGCUGCCAUUGGUACAGAUCUUGGUGGUAGUAGCAAAUAAUCGAAUGAGACCUUGGAGGACUGAAGUGGAGAAGGGUUUCGUGUGAACAGUGGUUGAUCACGAGUUAGUCGGUCCUAAGUUCAAGGCGAAAGCCGAAAAUUUUCAAGUAAAACAAAAAUGCCUAACUAUAUAAACAAAGCGAAUUAUAAUACACUUGAAUAAUUUUGAACGAAAGGGAAUACGGUUCCAAUUCCGUAACCUGUUGAGUAUCCGUUUGUUAUUAAAUAUGGGCCUCGUGCUCAUCCUGGCAACAGGAACGACCAUAAAGAAGCCGUCGAGAGAUAUCGGAAGAGUUUUCUUUUCUGUUUUAUAGCCGUACUACCAUGGAAGUCUUUCGCAGAGAGAUAUGGUAGAUGGGCUAGAAGAGCAUGACAUAUACUGUUGUGUCGAUAUUUUCUCCUCGGACCUUGAAAAUUUAUGGUGGGGACACGCAAACUUCUCAACAGGCCGUACCAAUAUCCGCAGCUGGUCUCCAAGGUGAAGAGUCUCUAGUCGAUAGAAUAAUGUAGGUAAGGGAAGUCGGCAAAUUAGAUCCGUAACUUCGGGAUAAGGAUUGGCUCUGAAGAUUGAGAUAGUCGGGCUUGAUUGGGAAACAAUAACAUGGUUUAUGUGCUCGUUCUGGGUAAAUAGAGUUUCUAGCAUUUAUGUUAGUUACUUGUUCCCCGGAUAGUUUAGUUACGUAGCCAAUUGUGGAACUUUCUUGCUAAAAUUUUUAAGAAUACUAUUUGGGUUAAACCAAUUAGUUCUUAUUAAUUAUAACGAUUAUCAAUUAACAAUCAAUUCAGAACUGGCACGGACUUGGGGAAUCCGACUGUCUAAUUAAAACAAAGCAUUGUGAUGGCCCUAGCGGGUGUUGACACAAUGUGAUUUCUGCCCAGUGCUCUGAAUGUCAAAGUGAAGAAAUUCAAGUAAGCGCGGGUCAACGGCGGGAGUAACUAUGACUCUCUUAAGGUAGCCAAAUGCCUCGUCAUCUAAUUAGUGACGCGCAUGAAUGGAUUAACGAGAUUCCUACUGUCCCUA